RNAcentral lists this ribosomal RNA (406 nucleotides) under uncultured bacterium. Its description in RNAcentral is "partial 16S ribosomal RNA". It matches the Rfam family "Bacterial small subunit ribosomal RNA", at positions 30 to 526 of the family's 1533-position model. The record is from RNAcentral.
AUUGAACGCUGGCGGCAGGCCUAACACAUGCAAGUCGAGCGAGCGGCGGACGGGUGAGUAAUGCCUAGGAAUCUGCCUGGUAGUGGGGGAUAACGUCCGGAAACGGUAGCUAAUACCGCAUACCAUCGGAUGUGCCCAGGUGGGAUUAGCUAGUAGGUGGGGUAAAGGCUUACCUAGGCGACGAUCCCUAGCUGGUCUGAGAGGAUGACCAGCCACACUGGAACGGAGAAACGGUCCAGACUCCUACGGGAGGCAGCAGUGGGGAAUAUUGCACAAUGGGCGCAAGCCUGAUGCAGCCAGGCAGAGUGUAUGAAGAAGGCCUUCGGGUUGUAAAGUACUUUCAGCGGGGAGGCGUUACCCGCAGAAGAAGCACCGGCUAACUCCGUGCCAGCCGCCGCGGUAAUUC